RNAcentral lists this ribosomal RNA (440 nucleotides) under uncultured bacterium. Its description in RNAcentral is "partial 16S ribosomal RNA". It matches the Rfam family "Bacterial small subunit ribosomal RNA", at positions 338 to 795 of the family's 1533-position model. The record is from RNAcentral.
CCUACGGGAGGCUGCAGUGGGGGAUAUUGCACAAUGGGGGGAACCCUGAUGCAGCGACGCCGCGUGGGUGAAGAAGCGCCUCGGCGCGUAAAGCCCUGUCAGCAGGGAAGAAAAUGACGGUACCUGUAGAAGAAGCCCCGGCGAACUACGUGCCAGCAGCCGCGGUAAUACGGAGGGGGCAAGCGUUAGCCGGAUGUACUGGGUGUAAAGUGGGCGCAGACGGCGAGGCAAGCCAGGAGUGAAAGCCCGGGGCCCAACCUGGGGACUGCUCUUGGAACUGCGUGGCUGGAGUGCAGGAGGGGCAGGCAGAAUUCCUGGUGUAGCGGUGAAAUGCGUAGAGAUCAGGAGGAACACCGGUGGCGAAGGCGGCCUGCUGGACUGCAACUGACGUUGAGGCCCGAAAGCGUGGGGAGCAAACAGGAUUAGAUACCCUAGUAGUC